Long non-coding RNA from Pan troglodytes (chimpanzee), 1855 nucleotides. RefSeq lists it as uncharacterized. NCBI's taxonomy places the organism in Eukaryota, Metazoa, Chordata, Mammalia, Primates, Hominidae. The record is from RefSeq and is a predicted model, not a curated record. The transcript has 4 exons.
AGCUGUGAAGAUACAGAGAGCGACACUAACGUUAUGGAGGGACUUGCCAGGGAGCAGAGCAGAUUUUCCCCUAAGAAGGAUGGAAAGGGCCAGUGGCGAGGCAGUGUGGGAAUUGCGUUUUCUUCCUUCCUUGAGAACGGGUGCUGGCAGUCCUUCAAAGGGAAAGAAGGAUGUUCAGAGAAGUGCUUUUGAGUCGUCCCAACCUUAAGGGAUGAGCAAUUGGAGGGGGAAAAAGUGGUGCUGCUUUAAAAUGCAAGCACCCAGACUCAAAAGAAUACUUAAUAGAUGAUUCCAUGUAUGUAAAAUUCUGAAAAAUGCAAACUAAUCUAAGUAGAUGGGUGGUUGCCUGGGGUAAGAGGGCCUGCACCAGGCUAGAGGAACCUUUUGGAGGGGGUAAUAGAAAAGCUAUAUUUCCAUUGGGGUGGCAAUUUCAUGGCCUAAAAUCUAAACUCAAGGAAUUUUACACUUCAAAUGGAUGCAGUUAUUGCAUGUAAAUUGAUACUGCAAUAGUUCAAUUUUUGAAAAAUGCAGGUACCCUCUUGCAGUAAGCACUGCUGGCUGCCCACCCAACCGCCCUUACCCCCUUUUUUGCUCCUGGAACUCUUGUGUCACAGGCCAAUCCUGAUGAGUCUACGUUGGUGAAGUGUGAGCCUCCCAUUCUCCUUGCCAGUGAUUGGCUUACAGGUCCCCUUCAAAUUAAGUCAUCUCUUCUUCAAGGCUCAGUCAUAUAAAUUUCAAAGGACACGUGGCCAUGCUCCAUACCAGAAAGGUUUGAAGGAGGUUUAACAACCUCAAGAAACUCAGACAAUCAUCCAGUGCCUCGCCCAGCAGGAAAGUGCUGAAGCGGGUGGGGUGACUGGUCACCAAGCAAGGCUCAUGCGGAUGGGCAUCGAUAAAGACAUCGAUAAAGACGUGGUUACCAUGGCAACCAUCACUUCUAACUUCUUAUCAAACCACAUCCUGUGAACAUGAGGGAGCAGAGCCGAAGUGAGAGCCAGAGACCCUGCAUCCUUCCUUAUUCUACUCUUGCUACCAUUCCGCACCACUACCGUGCCUCAGUUUCCCCCAAUUUAAAGUGAGACAAUACUUCUUUACCUUUCAUCUGACCACAGACACUUGGGAAGCCAUGCCUAGAGGAGGCUUCACCCCUCAGUGAAAAGGGACCUCAGGGAGACCUUGUUCUCCCUGAGCCUUGUACAUUCAGAUUUUCUAGGAGUUGAACAGGUAAGAGGUACCUGAGUAAGAGGUAUAAUAUUAAUAAUUCUACCGCCUGCUCUAUGACUGUCCAUGUGAUGUUGGGCAAGUCAAUCUCUCUGAGCCUCAGUUUCUUUAUCUCUAAAAUGGGCAUAACUAUUUAUGCCCUCUCUACUUUACAGAGUUAUGGUGAGAGCUGUACAAGGUAAUGUUGUGGAAGCAUUCUGGAAGAUGUAAAAUCUCACAUAAAUGGAAGGAACAAAUAUUGCCUUCCAUUUAUACUCCCUCCUCUUAAGUUCCUCUAAAUCAACUUAUAGAUGAAAACCCGUUAGCCUGAAGAGUUCCAGCACCACUGCUUUCCUUAGAAUACUGGUUCUCAAGCCAGGUGUGGUGGCUCACGCCUGUAAUCCCAGCACUUUGGGAGGCUGAGGUGGGUGGACUGCUUGAGGCCAGGAGUUCAAGACCAGCCUGGCCAACAUGGUGAAACCCCAUCUCUACUAAAAAUACAAAAAUCAGCUGGGUGUGGUGGUGUCUGCCUGUAGUCCCAGCUACUUGGGAGGCUGAGGCACUAGAAUUGCUUGAACCCAGGAGGCGGAGGUUGCAGUGAGGUGAGAUUGUGCCACUGUACUCCAGCCUGGGUGACAAGGCGAGACUCUCUCUC